This is a long non-coding RNA of Boleophthalmus pectinirostris (great blue-spotted mudskipper), 925 nucleotides long. RefSeq lists it as uncharacterized. The record is from RefSeq and is a predicted model, not a curated record. The transcript has 3 exons. Lineage: Eukaryota; Metazoa; Chordata; Actinopteri; Gobiiformes; Gobiidae.
AGAAAGCCAACGAACGCUAAGAUGACCAGAGAAAAGGGGAAAACUGUAACACAGUCGAAGUUUUCCAAGAGGCUCUGGCUGCAGACACAUGGGGAAAGUGGAGCUCCACUCCAGACCGGAAACACGUGACCUCCACCGAAGACGUCAUCUCUACUUUUAUGUAGAACUAUGGGGCGACGAAACCAUUUAUUUUGACCGCAAUUAAAUGUUUAUUAAAUAAGAUUGUUUUUAGGUUAUGGAAUUUGUUCACACAUACAAACACAGAGCAAAACGACCAUCUGGAAGACGGAGAAAACAUGUGAGUAACACUUUUACCUUUAGGAAAUCAUCACUAACACAACUGUAAAUGUAAAAUACAGCCAUAACUCCCACAAAACUGUCAAAUAAGUUUAUUUUUAACUGCGUGAACCUCGGAGAUUUGAGCUAAAAGUUUGAUUAGUAAUCUGCAGCUAACGCGAUGAAAAGUCAGCUCAAACUUUCAUAUUUGGACACAUUUCCAUCAAACACUCAUCAUGUUUUUACUGUUUGGGGUAAAGAAGCUCACAGAUGAUUUAAUGAAGCUACGAGGAGAAAACGCCGCAUUUUCACGCACAGUGACUGGGUUAAACUUGUAAACACUUGGCCAGUAUAAGUGUAAGUGCGCUUCCUGUAUGAGAACACAACACACUGCUGGGGCCACAGAACUGUUGGCUGAUGAGACGCUCAUGAUUCAUGAAAUGGGUCAAAUGCAGAUGACAAAGAAAAGUGACACUGAGCAGGAGGUGUGACCCAGACUCUGCCUCUGUUUAGGUUUUCACUCUGCAGACAGAAAUUUCAACCAGUCAGACUUAAGGCCCAUUCUGCUCUUCCUCCUCCAGAAGACGAGAGACACAUCAGACUGAAUGAUCCAAGUCCACUGGGUCAUGUCUCCACUGUCCAUGUCCAG